RNAcentral lists this ribosomal RNA (253 nucleotides) under uncultured bacterium. RNAcentral's name for it is "partial 16S ribosomal RNA". It matches the Rfam family "Bacterial small subunit ribosomal RNA", at positions 524 to 776 of the family's 1533-position model. The record is from RNAcentral.
GACGGAGGGUGCAAGCGUUGUUCGGAAUUACUGGGCGUAAAGGGCGCGUAGGCGGUCUGUUAAGUUCGGUGUGAAAGCCCCCGGCUCACCUGGGGAACUGCGCCGGAAACCGACAGACUCGAGUACCGGAGAGGAGGGUGGAAUUCCUGGUGUAGCGGUGAAAUGCGUAGAUAUCAGGAGGAACACCGGUGGCGAAGGCGGCCCUCUGGGCCGGUACUGACGCUGAGGAGCGAAAGCGUGGGUAGCAAACAGG